RNAcentral lists this small nuclear RNA (152 nucleotides) under Piliocolobus tephrosceles (Ugandan red Colobus). Its description in RNAcentral is "U1 spliceosomal RNA (ENSPTEG00000025381.1)". It matches the Rfam family "U1 spliceosomal RNA". From Rfam's summary of the family: U1 is a small nuclear RNA (snRNA) component of the spliceosome (involved in pre-mRNA splicing). Its 5' end forms complementary base pairs with the 5' splice junction, thus defining the 5' donor site of an intron. There are significant differences in sequence and secondary structure between metazoan and yeast U1 snRNAs, the latter being much longer (568 nucleotides as compared to 164 nucleotides in human). The record is from Rfam by way of RNAcentral. Lineage: Eukaryota; Metazoa; Chordata; Mammalia; Primates; Cercopithecidae.
AUUCUUACCUGGCAGGGAAGAUAACAUGAUCACGAAGGUGGUUUUCCCAGGGUGAGGUUUAUCCAUUGCACUCUGGAUGUGCUGACCCGUGAUUUCCCCGAAAGUGCAUAAUUUGUGGUAGUGGGGGACUGCAUUCUUCAUGCUUUCCCCUA